AUGCGGUACAAAUUGGGCUCACUGAGCACUGUCCUUCUAGUAACUUUAAUUUGUUUCACAUUAUUAUACUAUUUUACUUUUACUGGAAAAGAAUACCGACUCAAAUCCCAGGAGGAUGAAUAUUUAUUAGAAUCUCUCAAGUUCAAUAGGAUAAACGCAUUGAAAAUCGCUAAAAAGAACCGAGAGGCACUGAUUAAAUCUUCGAAUUCUCUGAAUUAUACGGAUUUUUUCGAAAAAGUGAAAGUUGAAGCUCAUUGUGAGCAUAAAAUGAGAAUUGGAGGUGAUGGAGAUGGUGGGAAGAGUGUUUGUAAUCCGAAAAUGGUAAAGGAUGAUUACUACUAUCCUUGGGUCUUCAUGACCAAAUUGAAUAUGACCUGCAUAUUUAUGACGUCACUGGGAGAAAAUGCAAACUUAUCGGUGCAGAUAUUGAUCCACAAAACGCUACAACAAGAGCACUCUAUGAAAAAAUGAAUGGAAAAUUGUUUGUUGGACAAAUCCCAAUACCGCUGUCAAUUCCGUCAAUUCUCCGAAAAAGUGGAGCAAGUGAAGUGGAGCUAUUGAAAAUUGAUAUAGAAGGAGGAGAAUUUAUUGGGUUGGAGCCAUUGAUCAGGGAUUUUUAUGUUUGUCAGAUACUCAUUGAAAUCCACGGAUUUCCUACAAUCCAUCUUGCCUUGCUCAAAAUCAUGUCAAAAUACGGAUUUCGUAUUUUCAACGUGGAACCCAAUCCGCAGUGCUAUUUCUGUUGUGAAUAUAGUUUGAUCAACGAGUUUUGUAUGACUCAAUAUGGAGUUUUCCCGCUCGCCAUUGUUAUUCCGCAAAUGUAA
RNAcentral lists this unclassified non-coding RNA (824 nucleotides) under Caenorhabditis elegans. RNAcentral describes it as "Non-coding transcript of protein-coding gene F38C2.4b". The record is from RNAcentral. Lineage: Eukaryota; Metazoa; Nematoda; Chromadorea; Rhabditida; Rhabditidae.